ACGUCCGUAGCUCAGCUGGUUAGAGCACCACCUUGACAUGGUGGGGGUCGGUGGUUCGAGUCCACUCGGUCGUACCA
Molecule: transfer RNA, 77 nt
Filed under: Photobacterium ganghwense
Lineage: Bacteria; Pseudomonadati; Pseudomonadota; Gammaproteobacteria; Vibrionales; Vibrionaceae
Description: tRNA-Val
Rfam family: tRNA
About the family: Transfer RNA (tRNA) molecules are approximately 80 nucleotides in length. Their secondary structure includes four short double-helical elements and three loops (D, anti-codon, and T loops).
Source: RNAcentral